Lolium perenne is the source of this 1923-nucleotide RNA transcript. RefSeq lists it as uncharacterized. The record is from RefSeq and is a predicted model, not a curated record. Lineage: Eukaryota; Viridiplantae; Streptophyta; Magnoliopsida; Poales; Poaceae.
CUUCCAGCGCCGUCAACUCCCCAACCUCGCCGUUCGCGGUGACCGGACCAGCAGCGCCGCCGUCCGGAGGUAGCACCCUGCUGACCUGGUGUAGCACCCCACAGGCGAGGGAGGCCACGAGAGCAUCCGCGCCGGCACCACAGCGUGCGGGCGUGCCUGUGAAAGGCCGAGCCACGGCGUGCGGGCUGAAGGCAGGCGCCGAGCGAGCCAAAAGCAGGAGAGGCACAUGAGCUCCGCGCGCGGUCCUGGUCGCCGGCGAGGACCACCAAGGCGGGGCGACGGUCAAUCUCAGCGACCGCCGCGGACUGCGGUAGGGGCGCGGGCGGGGAAGCUUGCCGCGGUGCAGAAUGUCGGCGGGGAGGCGCGGAGUACGAGCUGCUGGUCGAUCCCCUCCCCGAGGUGCUGCCUCCGGCGUCGUCUUCACCGCCCACGAUCCCGAUCUGCUGCCAACAACCAUAAAUACGAGCAGCUGCUGCUGCUGCCGACCGUCGAGGAUGCAGUAACGGAGAAGUGGAGCUGUAGCUGGCCAGGAGGGAGCCAUGGCUGCUGGAACUGGCGUGGCCCAACCGUUCUUGCAUUCAGAAAGGAUCUGUUGGAUCAAUCGUGACCUGCCCGUUCUCGCAUUCAGAAGCUAGGGAUCCAUGUCUCCCGGAUCCGGCAUAACUCUAGGGUAGUAGUGAAGUGGAGCUGUAGCUGGCAAGGAGGGAGCGAUCGCCGCUGGAUCUGGCAUGACCUGACCCUUCUCGCAUUCAGAUCCAUGUCUGCCUUAUCUGGCGUGACCCAGACGUUCUCGCAUUUAGAAGGGAUCCAUGUCUCACGCAUCCGGCAUAACCCUAGGUGGGAAGUGGAGCUGGAGCUGGCAAGCAGGGGUCCAGAUGGCUGGUGGAUCUGGCCAAUUUGACUCCAACGUUGCUGCUGGGAUGAAAAAUUACGGCGGCAACUGUGGGAGAGAUUCUUCGUUUUGUGGCUGUACUUUGCUCGGGCCGUCGGCGAGCGGAAUACCUACCAUUCAUGGUUGUUCUGCCUGGAGGUGUUGUGUGGUGUCGCAGCUGGGGAAGGGAGGGUCCUGCACCGAGGAGGAUGUCACUGGCCGGCUGCUUGCUUUGGUGUGUGCCUGGGGACCUUGGCAUGGCCAGGAGGCGCUGCUACGGUGGUGGCGGCGGCUGCCCGUGUGUCAUACAUACUGUUUGGGAGGAUAACUGGGAGGCCUAAACAACGGCAGCGGUGGCAUUCGUCUUCGACUCCUUGUGUGUUCAGGGAAGUUUCUGGUUCCUGCGUGUGAUUUCUUUGUGUAGUUGAUCAUGUAGUAUCUCUACAUGGAAUUUGCUAGCCUGGAGUUGUCCAAGCAGUAUCAUGGCUGUUAUUUGUCAGUGUUAUUCGUGUUCCAAGUUGGCAGACUUGGUUCACUGCCAUUUAUUGUAUCUGCUGUACGCCAUUUUCAAAAAAUGCCAUGUUAUUGUAUUUUUUAGGACCAACUCCGUCCCAUAAUAAGUGACUCCAUUAUGUGUAGAUAUGUAUGCAUAUAGACACAUUUUAGUUGUAGAUACAUCCGUAGUAGUGUCCUUGCUGCACAUCAGAAUGGCCUGACGCCAAUUUGUUUGUUUUGCCAUGUAAAUACUUGUUCAGUAGUAGUGCCCUUGCCACAGACGGAUAGACUUGGUUGAUUGAUUGCCGUUUGUGAUGUGCAGCCCCCCUUACUCGUGCUUGUGUGCGUUGUCGCGGCAGGGAAGGGGAGGGGAGUAUCCUGCGCCAAGCCAAGGAGGAGGUCGACCUUGGCAUGGUUCUGGCCGCGCUGCAACCUGCGACGGGCGGCGGCCACCUGUGUGUUGUACAUACUGUUUGGGAGGAUGGAACCUUGUAGUGUUUGAGUGGUCUGAAGAUUGGAACGGACACAGCUUGUUGUAAUUAAUUAUUAUAAUGGUU